Acanthoscelides obtectus is the source of this 73-nucleotide non-coding RNA. The record is from the annotation of a GenBank genome assembly. Lineage: Eukaryota; Metazoa; Arthropoda; Insecta; Coleoptera; Chrysomelidae.
GAUGCUGUAGACUAAUUGGUGAGAUCGGCUCUUCGGAAUGUAGGAGCUGCGGGUUCGAACCCCUUCGGCAUCC